Molecule: ribosomal RNA, 309 nt
Filed under: uncultured eukaryote
Lineage: Eukaryota
Description: bacterial SSU rRNA
Rfam family: Eukaryotic small subunit ribosomal RNA
Source: RNAcentral
AAUCAUCUAUUUGAUGGUAAAAACUACAUGGAUAACCGUAGUAAUUCUAGAGCUAAUACAUGCCAAAAACCCCGACUGUUUGGAAGGGGAGUAUUUAUUAGAUUCAAAAAUCAAGGCAGGGGGCAACUCCUGGAAAAUUGGUGAUUCAUGAUAACUUUUCGGACCACAUGGCCUAGUGCUGGUGGCGCAUCAUUCGAAUUUCUGCCCUAUCAACUUUCGAAGGUAGUAUAGAGGACUACCUUGGUAAUAACGGGUAACGGGGUUUUAAGGAACGACUCCGGAGAGUUUGCCUUAAAAAUGGCAAACACU